UCUGAAAUGAUUCUGAACUAUGUGUAGUCAAGUAACCACUGUAUAUAUUAUUUUCCUUUUAGAAAACAAAAUAAUUCUGAAAGAAAGAAAACAAAGAAAACAUACUCCAGAAUUCCUAAUAGAACAUAUAGCCAGAUGUAGUGAAGGUCCCAGCUGCCUCCUAAAAACCUGCUGUGGAACAACAGGAUCCAAGAGACUGAAGGAGCCAAUCAAGCUUAACAUUUGCAUGCGAAGGCCUCCCAGAAGCAAGGACUUCAGCUCCCUGGCUCCUUAUCCAUUCUGCUGCUUAUGGGCAAUAGGACCACACAAAGAAAUGCGCCUGUGCUUAGGAAAUAAAAAUAUUUACCCAAGUCAUAAUGUUCGUAUGUGGUGAUGAGAACCCAAUCAAUUCAAGAGGACAGAGAAAUUAAUUUAUAUAUUAGUUUUAAAAAUACAAAUUGACAUAAACAUUGGAAUAAUAGACACUGUAGACUACUAGAAAGGGGAGAGAGAAAGGGGGGUAUAGGUUGAAAAACUACCUAUGGGGCACUAGGUUCACUACCUAGGUGUAAUAUUCCCAUGUAGCAAAUCUGCACCUGUACCUACUGUAUCUAAAAUGAAAGUUGAGAUUUAAAAAAACUACAUAAAAAUGCAAAAUUUGAGACGGAGAGCUGCUUAAAGCAGCUUCAAGGAUUUUUAUCUUUCUUGAAUUUCUAUUUAGCAGUCAAUGUUUCACACUUGUAGUAUAUAAAUUAUCAAAACUAACACAUUUUCAGUAAAACUGGACUUGGAUGAUGUAACUUAUGCACAGUAUCCUCUAAAACACGGUUGUUCCCCCAUGUAGAGCAGCUGAGUGAACUAUAAGGAUCAAACAAAGAAAUCCACAUGAAAAAUGUAUGCUUAUCAAAAAGUUAUAUGAUGUUUCAUGUGAUUAAAUUCUAAGAAGAUGUUCCUAAAUGUUUCAUUCUUACAGCUGCAAAGCAGUGUUGACAUCAUCCGAUCCAAAUUCCCUGCUUUACCGCUGAAAAUCCAAUGCAUGUAGCAGUUCAGUGACUUUAAUGAUGGCACAGCCAGUGUUAGCCUAGAAACCCAAGGUGCCUGACCUUGAAGGAAGUUCAUAUAUAUACACAUAUUUGUACAUACAUAUAUACGCACAAAUAUGCAUAUGUUCAUACAUCUACCACCAAUCACAUACAUAUAUGUAACCUGAAUAUAUAUAUCCAGGUUAGGAAUCUGUUUGUCUUCCUUCAGAUUACUCCUAACCCCUGCCUCCUGUCUUCCUUCUCCUCUGGCAAACCCAUUUCCCAAUCACGAGCAUCCCAUUGCCCACUUACACACUGCUCACCACCCAGAAUAUAGGGAUUGAGUCUUACUCCCAAGAGACUCAUUUCAAGCCACCUCUUUCCCAGGCAUUGCUGGACUUGGCAUCUGAAUAUGUUUUGUUCUGCAGGAGUAGAUAGCCUCAUAUGCUAAUCGAGGGUGAAAGUUUUCUUUGUCUGUUGGGUUUCCUCUAACAUCUUAUGAAUAAUCUUAAAUAAAAUGUAGGGAAAGCAUUCAGUGACAUGAAAUAGAUCUCGAAAGAAAGGCAGACUGCUAUUCAACAUUGCUAGCCUCUCACUGAUUCCAGAAGCAAAGUGUCUGUAAUAAAGUAUUCAAUUUUACACUAUCCCCACUCAGGACUUGCUAACCACAAUCACUCCCUCACCCCACAACCUGCUCGCAUGCCCAUUUCUUAGUGUGGAUAUAAGGUCACCCAGAGACAGCUAACGAGCAAUGAGUCUGCUGCACUUGUGUACUGAGCCACCAGAGGUGCUAAUAGAAAGGAAAUAUCUUUUUUUUUUUUUUUUUUUUUGUUUUUUUUUUUUUUGCAUCCACCAAUUGUGGAUGGAUUUUUUUUUUUUUUUUUUUUUUUUUUUUUUUUUUUUUUUUGAGACGUUUUAGUCUCGCUUCUCCUCUCUCCCCCCGCCGUCGUCUCUCUCAGGC
RNAcentral lists this long non-coding RNA (1962 nucleotides) under Rhinopithecus bieti (black snub-nosed monkey). RNAcentral describes it as "lncRNA (ENSRBIG00000046080.1)". Lineage: Eukaryota; Metazoa; Chordata; Mammalia; Primates; Cercopithecidae. The record is from RNAcentral.